GACGUAGGGGGCAAGCGUUAUUCGGAAUCAUUGGGCGUAAAGCGCUCGUAGGCGGAUCGAACAGUCGGUGAAGAAAGACCUGGGCUCAACUCAGGGAACGGCACCGAUACUAUCGGUCUUGAGGCAAUCAGAGGAUGAUGGAAUUCCCGGUGUAGCGGUGAAAUGCGUAGAGAUCGGGAGGAAUACCUAUGGCGAAAGCAGGCUUCUGGGCCGUCACUGACGCUGAUCUGCGAAAGCUAGGGGAGCAAACAGG
This 253-nucleotide ribosomal RNA is filed under the name uncultured prokaryote. RNAcentral's name for it is "partial 16S ribosomal RNA". It matches the Rfam family "Bacterial small subunit ribosomal RNA", at positions 524 to 776 of the family's 1533-position model. The record is from RNAcentral.